This 508-nucleotide ribosomal RNA is filed under the name uncultured bacterium. Its description in RNAcentral is "partial 16S ribosomal RNA". It matches the Rfam family "Bacterial small subunit ribosomal RNA", at positions 30 to 523 of the family's 1533-position model. The record is from RNAcentral.
AUUGAACGCUGGCGGCAUGCCUUACACAUGCAAGUCGAACGGCAGCGGGGGAGAAGCUUGCUUUUCCUGCCGGCGAGUGGCGAACGGGUGAGUAAUACAUCGGAACGUGCCCUGUAGUGGGGGAUAACUAGUCGAAAGAUUAGCUAAUACCGCAUACGACCUGAGGGUGAAAGUGGGGGACCGCAAGGCCUCAUGCUAUAGGAGCGGCCGAUGUCUGAUUAGCUAGUUGGUGGGGUAAAGGCCUACCAAGGCGACGAUCAGUAGCUGGUCUGAGAGGACGAUCAGCCACACUGGGACUGAGACACGGCCCAGACUCCUACGGGAGGCAGCAGUGGGGAAUUUUGGACAAUGGGCGAAAGCCUGAUCCAGCAAUGCCGCGUGUGUGAAGAAGGCCUUCGGGUUGUGAAGCACUUUUGUCCGGAAAGAAAUGGCUCCGGUUAAUACCUGGGGUCGAUGACGGUACCGGAAGAAUAAGGACCGGCUAACUACGUGCCAGCAGCCGCCGUAA